UACAGAGGGUGCAAGCGUUGCUCGGAAUUAUUGGGCGUAAAGGGUAGGUAGGUGGUCUCAUUUGUCUGGGGUGAAAGCCUUGAGCUUAACUCAAGAAGUGCCCUGGAAACGGUGAGACUAGAGUUCUGGAGAGGGUCGUGGAAUUCCUGGUGUAGCGGUGAAAUGCGCAGAUAUCAGGAGGAACACCGAUUGCGAAGGCAGCUCGCUGGAACGUUACUGACGCUGAGACGCGAAAGCGUGGGGAGCAAACAGG
RNAcentral lists this ribosomal RNA (253 nucleotides) under uncultured bacterium. Its description in RNAcentral is "partial 16S ribosomal RNA". It matches the Rfam family "Bacterial small subunit ribosomal RNA", at positions 524 to 776 of the family's 1533-position model. The record is from RNAcentral.